AACAACCUCUGAGAAUACCCUGAUAAUACAAGAUGUAUGUCUCUACACUUCAUAUGGUUACAUGACAUCUACCAGACUAGAUUGAACUUCUGCAGUGCAUGUUUACCUCGAUGUGAAAAAACUUCUAUGUAUGGAUUUUAAAGGCAGCAACCACAAGGAUAAACUAGAGAGGCAGAGA
Triticum aestivum (bread wheat) is the source of this 178-nucleotide long non-coding RNA. RefSeq lists it as uncharacterized. The transcript is spliced from 3 exons. NCBI's taxonomy places the organism in Eukaryota, Viridiplantae, Streptophyta, Magnoliopsida, Poales, Poaceae. The record is from RefSeq and is a predicted model, not a curated record.